UUCAACUUGAGAGUUUGAUCCUGGCUCAGAACGAACGCUGGCGGCAGGCUUAACACAUGCAAGUCGAGCGCAUCCUUCGGGGUGAGCGGCGGACGGGUGAGUAACGCGUGGGAACGUGCCCUCUUCUACGGAAUAGCCCAGGGAAACUUGGAUUAAUGCCGUAUACGCCCGAAAGGGGAAAGAUUUAUCGGAGGAGGAUCGGCCCGCGUUGGAUUAGGUAGUUGGUGAGGUAACGGCUCACCAAGCCGACGAUCCAUAGCUGGUUGAGAGGAUGAUCAGCCACACUGGGACUGAGACACGGCCCAGACUCCUACGGGAGGCAGCAGUGGGGAAUCUUGGACAAUGGGGGAAACCCUGAUCCAGCCAUGCCGCGUGAUCGAUGAAGGCCUUAGGGUUGUAAAGAUCUUUCAGCUGGGAAGAUAAUGACGGUACCAGCAGAAGAAGCCCCGGCUAACUCCGUGCCAGCAGCC
This 470-nucleotide ribosomal RNA is filed under the name Amaricoccus sp. HAR-UPW-R2A-40. RNAcentral's name for it is "bacterial SSU rRNA". It matches the Rfam family "Bacterial small subunit ribosomal RNA", at positions 1 to 516 of the family's 1533-position model. The record is from RNAcentral. Lineage: Bacteria; Pseudomonadati; Pseudomonadota; Alphaproteobacteria; Rhodobacterales; Paracoccaceae.